This 59-nucleotide transfer RNA is filed under the name Paracoccaceae bacterium. RNAcentral describes it as "Rhodobacteraceae bacterium tRNA-Phe". It matches the Rfam family "tRNA", at positions 7 to 64 of the family's 71-position model. Rfam says of the family: Transfer RNA (tRNA) molecules are approximately 80 nucleotides in length. Lineage: Bacteria; Pseudomonadati; Pseudomonadota; Alphaproteobacteria; Rhodobacterales; Paracoccaceae. The record is from RNAcentral.
GUAGCUCAGGGGUAGAGCAGUGGAUUGAAAAUCCUCGUGUCGGUGGUUCGAUUCCGCCC